CUGCGGUGAAUACGUUCCCGGGCCUUGUACACACCGCCCGUCAAGCCAUGGAAGCUGGGGGUACCUGAAGUACGUAACCACAAGGAGCGUCCUAGGGUAAAACCGGUAACUGGGGCU
RNAcentral lists this ribosomal RNA (117 nucleotides) under uncultured bacterium. RNAcentral's name for it is "partial 16S ribosomal RNA". It matches the Rfam family "Bacterial small subunit ribosomal RNA", at positions 1357 to 1482 of the family's 1533-position model. The record is from RNAcentral.